Molecule: long non-coding RNA, 854 nt
Organism: Harmonia axyridis
Lineage: Eukaryota; Metazoa; Arthropoda; Insecta; Coleoptera; Coccinellidae
Exons: 2
Source: RefSeq, a predicted model, not a curated record
AUUGAACAAUUACCUUUGAUCAAUGAUAUAUUAAUAUUUUUUUUCAUUUUAAUCCAUGACAUAGCAUUUACACGAGAGGAUAGAUAGCCCAAAAAAUCCAACGUUGCCAAAUGUACGAAAUACAAUUAUUUUAGGUUAUGGCGCGAAAUACAAGUUUUGAAGCAUAGACCUAAUAUCAAGGUGAUAUAAGGUCUAUGUUUUGAAGUUUGUCAUUUGUCUCUGUUUAGUACAGGAUACGCUAAAACAGACCAAAUAUUUGGACCCGAAGCUCAUGAGUUACAGGUACUCCCAAAGAUCCUAAAUGAAAUUAACUGUCAUGCGUGAGAAUGCCGAGAAUUCCCUUCAAAUACGAUUUUGACGUUGAUGUUCCAAACAACAACACAAUUUACAUUUUCUUUUGUUUCCCAUUUUAAUUGCAGAGUGGUAUGAAACAGGUAGAUGAAAUUUGGUAUUAUUAUAUCAACAGGUACAAAAAUAUACAAAAUAUUCUGCAGACCAAUUUUUGAAUAUGAACACACUAUACAGAACUGAACUAGUGCCAAUAAGGGAAAGACUGCAAAAAUUUCCAAGGAAACUCUUCUAAAGGCUACAAAACAUUGAACUAAAGUGACCAUUGAUGCGAAUAUGAUAGAAGUUAUUUAUUAUUAUUAUAUUUAUUUGUAGGUUGAUCAAUUAAUGUGAUUUGAUAAUAUGAAAGAGAAUUUUGUAUGAGAUUGAAUUGAAAGUGCCCUUUUGUUACUAUGAAUAAGUAUUCAAAUUAAAGCUUCUUAAUUAUUUUAUGUGAAUUAAGAAAUUUAUUGUUGGUAAUAAUGGAUUGAACUUUGAGAAAUUUCAAUAAAACAUCUAGAAAUGGA